AUUCAACAUUUCUAAGCUGAUAAAGCUCCAAAUAGCAUCAGCUUCAUGGAAUGUUUUUGUUUCUCUUUUCUUCUUCCUUUUCUUCUUCCUUUUCUUCUUCUUGGAUUUAUCAUCUUCACUCACGUUUUUCCCCUAUCAUUUCUCUUCGAAUCCUCACUCCCUUUUCCUUUAAUUUUUGGCCAAAUUAAAAAACAGAUAGGGUUUUGUUUUUGUAAUUUAU
RNAcentral lists this long non-coding RNA (220 nucleotides) under Carica papaya (papaya). RNAcentral describes it as "long non-coding RNA (CPAP_LNC003667)". Lineage: Eukaryota; Viridiplantae; Streptophyta; Magnoliopsida; Brassicales; Caricaceae. The record is from RNAcentral.